UGGAGAAUAUUGCUCAAUGGAGGGAACUCUGAUGCAGCGACGCCGCGUGAACGAAGAAGGCUUUCGAGUCGUAAAGUUCUUUUAUAUGGGAAGAUAAUGACGGUACCAUAAGAAGAAGCCCCGGCUAACUACGUGCCAGCAGCCGCGGUAAUACGUAGGGGGCUAGCGUUGUCCGGAAUCACUGGGCGUAAAGGGUUCGCAGGCGGAAAUGCAAGUCAGGUGUAAAAGGCAGUAGCUUAACUACUGUAAGCAUUUGAAACUGCAUAUCUUGAGAAGAGUAGAGGUAAGUGGAAUUUUUAGUGUAGCGGUGAAAUGCGUAGAUAUUAAAAAGAAUACCGGUGGCGAAGGCGACUUACUGGGCUCAUUCUGACGCUGAGGAACGAAAGCGUGGGUAGCAAACAGG
RNAcentral lists this ribosomal RNA (403 nucleotides) under bacterium. Its description in RNAcentral is "partial 16S ribosomal RNA". It matches the Rfam family "Bacterial small subunit ribosomal RNA", at positions 355 to 776 of the family's 1533-position model. The record is from RNAcentral.